Molecule: ribosomal RNA, 494 nt
Filed under: uncultured bacterium
Lineage: Bacteria
Description: partial 16S ribosomal RNA
Rfam family: Bacterial small subunit ribosomal RNA
Source: RNAcentral
GACGAACGCUGGCGGCGUGCUUAACACAUGCAAGUCGAACGGAAAGGCCUGCUUUCCCUUGUGGAUUGCGGGUACUCGAGUGGCGAACGGGUGAGUAACACGUGAGUGAUCUGCCCCCAACUUGGGUAUAAGCCUGGGAAACUGGGUCUAAUUCCCGAUAGGACUGCAGGGUGGUGCCUGUGGUGGAAAACGAUUUUCUAGUGGUUGGGGAUGAGCUCGCGGCCUAUCAGCUUGUUGGUGGGGUAAUGGCCUACCAAGGCGGCGACGGGUAGCCGGCCUGAGAGGGUGGACGGCCACAUUGGGACUGAGAUACGGCCCAGACUCCUACGGGAGGCAGCAGUGGGGAAUAUUGCACAAUGGGCGGAAGCCUGAUGCAGCGACGUCGCGUGGGGGAUGACGGCCUUCGGGUUGUAAACUCCUUUCGACCGCGAGGAAGCCACCUGGUUGGAAGGGUGGUGACGGUAGUGGUAGAAGAAGCACCGGCUAACUACGUG